GUCUGUUUGUGAGUUCUGUUUAAGUUCUCUGGUUCUGGUUCUGGUCUUGUGUCUCUGGUUCUCCUUUGUUUGUCUCAGUUCUGAUCGUGUUUGUUCAGACUUGUGAUUUAUUUUCGGAUCUCUGAGUGUGACAGCCAUUAAAGUUACUUAAUGUUUGUUACAUCAUCGUCUGUGUUGGGACCAAACAUGAAGUGAUGCAUACAGACAGAAACAACAGCUUUUAGACAGACAGGAGCUGUCAAUCAUCAGUAUUGUCUAAUCAUGUGUUAGUGGGAGGGGCAAAGAGCCUCAGGCUGUUUGUUUCCAAACAAACUGACACAAAACCAGGAAGAUCCACGACGACUGAGCUGUACGCCAUGAGUCCACGUGAGUCCAGCUGAAUACCAGCGAACCCAGAGGGCGAAGCUGGGUCAGAAACCACACCCAGAGGGCGAGGCUGGGUCAGAACCAUCUAGCUGACUCCCA
Molecule: long non-coding RNA, 465 nt
Organism: Larimichthys crocea (large yellow croaker)
Lineage: Eukaryota; Metazoa; Chordata; Actinopteri; Sciaenidae
Exons: 3
Source: RefSeq, a predicted model, not a curated record